AGUUUUGUUUUAUGUCGUCUGAGUUUUUCAGACGACAUAACUUUUUUUUGUGUUGUCUGAAUAUAGACUAAAACCAUACUCGUUCAAUUUGAAAAAAUGGUGAGCAUUCAGACAACACAUUUGUGUAGUUGUAAAAGAUGAUGAUUUCCUAUCUCAAAUGCGGAGGGAUAUCCAAAAUUUGAUCAAGUACUUUUCCCUCUCAAAUAGCCGAACUCUAGUUGACUAGAAAAUGUUGUGACAUUUAGACAACAUUUAAAUGUCGUCUGAGUGUGGAGCUUGUUUUAAAAUUUUUGAAGUUAUUUUGACUUGUGCUUUUUUACAUAGAUCCCUCGUAAUUAAAUCAUUUUCUGUCCUUCUCACUCCAACACCAGCCCGCGCGCUCUCUCUUUCUCACUCAGCUCGACCUAGAACCCGCGAAACUGGAAAACUCAAACACCAGCCUCUCUCCUUCUCACUCAGCUCUCUCAGAUCUCUCAGAUCUCGAUUCUCACUCUCUCCUCUCUCCUUCAUCUUCUCACUCUCUCGAUUCUUCUUGGUCUCUCCUUCUUCUUCUUAGCCUCUACUUCAUCUUUCGCGACCGGAUUAGUGGACCUCCCCAGCAACAACAGAGCUGUUUUUAAUUCGGAUAUUGGGAAACUUGGUGCUACAAAAGGAUUUGCUGGGAAGGAUGUAGUGAUUGUGGCGGCCUACCGAACUGCCAUUUACAAAGCAAAGCGAGGCGGUUUUAAGGAUACUUUAGCUGAUGAUUUACUGGCACCUGUUUUGAAGAUAUGGAGGAUGAAGUUAGAGAAUUGGGGGAAAGAAGAGGAACUUCAAGUUUGGAUGCCCAAGGCUGAGAAGGUUGUAGGGAUUCAAGGGGGAUGCUUGGCCUACAUUACCUGUUGAAGAUCUUGCUGACUUUUCCUUCCAGACAACGCCUAUGUAUAUAGAUGUGGAUGAUGGGAGAACUAAGGCCACGAAUAUAGGACUGCAACAGGACUAUUGUCUUGUGCCAAGUGCCAAGAGAUUUUAUUCUCCUAUAUUCUUUCCUGACGAGGAAUCUAUCAAAGAAAGUGAUGGUCUUCUUCUCUUCUUGCAACUCAGUUUCUUGGAAACAAUAAGUUGAAUGGCACUCUCUCUGAAUCGAAAAGCUCAUCUCUUCUCAAUGUAUGAGUUAAAUGCCUCACUAAGCUGCACAUGAGUUAAAUGCAGACGAGUAGACCACCUACCAGAUUUGCAGCAAAGGUUUUUGUUCUUUUUUCUGCAAUAUCUUGUUCCUCAUUGAGAAUGAAGACUAGUUGCUCUUGUAAUAUGCAGCAUAAGUCUAUAUGGGGGUCAAGAAAGAUUUGUGUCUCUGCAAUGGGUCAGCAGGUUUGUGUCUCUGCAAGCUCACUGGCCAUUCCGUUUUCUAUGACCACUUCUAUGAUUUGGGUGAUUCCGUUCAUGAUCAGAUUGUGAAACUAGUACAGCAGUACAGCAGUAUAGCUAGCUAGUUCCUUUAUUAACUUGUGUCUAGUAGAAAUUUUUCAUUCAUUAAGCAUUUAGACUUGUCUUCAGAUCCAGAUUAGUAUAUAUGAGUUAUUUUGAACUGAAGUUCAUGAUUAAGUUUGUGUACAUGAGAUACUAGUGGAUUAAUGGAAAUUGCAAUGAAUGAUUUUGAAUGUGGAUUUUAUGGUUUCAUACUUUCA
Rosa rugosa (rugosa rose) is the source of this 1667-nucleotide long non-coding RNA. RefSeq lists it as uncharacterized. The record is from RefSeq and is a predicted model, not a curated record. NCBI's taxonomy places the organism in Eukaryota, Viridiplantae, Streptophyta, Magnoliopsida, Rosales, Rosaceae. The transcript has 9 exons.